UAGAUUGACGCUGGCGGCAGGCCUAACACAUGCAAGUCGAACGGUAACAGGAAACAGCUUGCUGUUUCGCUGACGAGUGGCGGACGGGUGAGUAAUGUCUGGGAAACUGCCUGAUGGAGGGGGAUAACUACUGGAAACGGUAGCUAAUACCGCAUAACGUCGCAAGACCAAAGAGGGGGACCUUCGGGCCUCUUGCCAUCGGAUGUGCCCAGAUGGGAUUAGCUUGUUGGUGGGGUAACGGCUCACCAAGGCGACGAUCCCUAGCUGGUCUGAGAGGAUGACCAGCCACACUGGAACUGAGACACGGUCCAGACUCCUACGGGAGGCAGCAGUGGGGAAUAUUGCACAAUGGGCGCAAGCCUGAUGCAGCCAUGCCGCGUGUAUGAAGAAGGCCUUCGGGUUGUAAAGUACUUUCAGCGGGGAGGAAGGGAGUAAAGUUAAUACCUUUGCUCAUUGACGUUACCCGCAGAAGAAGCACCGGCUAACUCCGUGCCAGCAGCCGCGGUAAUACGGAGGGUGCAAGCGUUAAUCGGAAUUACUGGGCGUAAAGCGCACGCAGGCGGUUUGUUAAGUCAGAUGUGAAAUCCCCGGGCUCAACCUGGGAACUGCAUCUGAUACUGGCAAGCUUGAGUCUCGUAGAGGGGGGUAGAAUUCCAGGUGUAGCGGUGAAAUGCGUAGAGAUCUGGAGGAAUACCGGUGGCGAAGGCGGCCCCCUGGACGAAGACUGACGCUCAGGUGCGAAAGCGUGGGGAGCAAACAGGAUUAGAUACCCUGGUAGUCCACGCCGUAAACGAUGUCGACUUGGAGGUUGUGCCCUUGAGGCGUGGCUUCCGGAGCUAACGCGUUAAGUCGACCGCCUGGGGAGUACGGCCGCAAGGUUAAAACUCAAAUGAAUUGACGGGGGCCCGCACAAGCGGUGGAGCAUGUGGUUUAAUUCGAUGCAACGCGAAGAACCUUACCUGGUCUUGACAUCCACGGAAGUUUUCAGAGAUGAGAAUGUGCCUUCGGGAACCGUGAGACAGGUGCUGCAUGGCUGUCGUCAGCUCGUGUUGUGAAAUGUUGGGUUAAGUCCCGCAACGAGCGCAACCCUUAUCCUUUGUUGCCAGCGGUCCGGCCGGGAACUCAAAGGAGACUGCCAGUGAUAAACUGGAGGAAGGUGGGGAUGACGUCAAGUCAUCAUGGCCCUUACGACCAGGGCUACACACGUGCUACAAUGGCGCAUACAAAGAGAAGCGACCUCGCGAGAGCAAGCGGACCUCAUAAAGUGCGUCGUAGUCCGGAUUGGAGUCUGCAACUCGACUCCAUGAAGUCGGAAUCGCUAGUAAUCGUGGAUCAGAAUGCCACGGUGAAUACGUUCCCGGGCCUUGUACACACCGCCCGUCACACCAUGGGAGUGGGUUGCAAAAGAAGUAGGUAGCUUAACCUUCGGGAGGGCGCUUACCACUUUGUGAUCAUGACUGG
RNAcentral lists this ribosomal RNA (1461 nucleotides) under Shigella flexneri. RNAcentral's name for it is "bacterial SSU rRNA". It matches the Rfam family "Bacterial small subunit ribosomal RNA". Lineage: Bacteria; Pseudomonadati; Pseudomonadota; Gammaproteobacteria; Enterobacterales; Enterobacteriaceae. The record is from RNAcentral.